Molecule: long non-coding RNA, 714 nt
Filed under: Ananas comosus (pineapple)
Lineage: Eukaryota; Viridiplantae; Streptophyta; Magnoliopsida; Poales; Bromeliaceae
Description: long non-coding RNA (ACOM_LNC043653)
Source: RNAcentral
UUUGAAAAAGAUUCAAAUUUUCAUAUUUACUCUACUUAGAAAAUUAAUAUAAAAAAUAUUAUUUUAACAUCCAUUGCAAGUUCAAGCGGGGAGAUUGCGUUACGUGCGGUUAGAAAUGACGAUGGAAAAAUACGGUACGUAAUAUUGUGUUCCGCAUAUCGCGAUGAGUCGGUUACGAUAUAUUUUCUGCGGUCCCACCGGAGAACGCAGAAGCAUAUCCAUAUGCUUUUUCCUCAAAUCCAUUUCAUCUAAUAGUGUUAGAUAGAUUUCAAUACCAAACUAAGCCUAAAUAUACUCUUAUUACAGUUAAAUUCAGUUAGUGAAAGAUUAAGAACAAUCGUUAUAUCUGUAAAAUUACUAUUUUAUGCUUUCAAAUAUACUACUUUACCGUCGCGAACUUUUUUAUUUGUUCUUAAGUUAGGGACAUAAAAAGCAUUUUGACUUUUUUUUCUUUAAAUAUAUUUUUUUAUCGUCAUCAAUUUUUCUUAUUUGCUCUAAAGUUAGGAGCAAUAAAAGUAUUUUGACUUCUUUUUAACUCUGAUAGAAAUUUAACUGAGCUUUAAGUCAUCUGUUAUUCUUGAAUAACGAAAAAAUAUACGAAAAUAUAUUUGAAACAAAAAAAUAUAGAAAUAUAUAAGAUAUUUCAGAAAUUUUAAGAAGUAUAUAGAUUUUUCUUUUUAUCGGGCAAUGCUACUGUUAGUGGAGGAUUAAUUU